GCCUGUUUGGCUCAGUGGAUAGAGCAUCGGCCUGUGGACUGAAGGGUCCCGGGUUCAAUUCCCGUCAAGGGCA
This 73-nucleotide transfer RNA is filed under the name Myotis brandtii (Brandt's bat). It matches the Rfam family "tRNA". Rfam says of the family: Transfer RNA (tRNA) molecules are approximately 80 nucleotides in length. Their secondary structure includes four short double-helical elements and three loops (D, anti-codon, and T loops). The record is from Rfam by way of RNAcentral. Lineage: Eukaryota; Metazoa; Chordata; Mammalia; Chiroptera; Vespertilionidae.